UACGUAGGGUGCGAGCGUUGUCCGGAAUUACUGGGCGUAAAGAGCUCGUAGGCGGUUUGUCGCGUCUGCCGUGAAAGUCCGGGGCUCAACUCCGGAUCUGCGGUGGGUACGGGCAGACUAGAGUGAUGUAGGGGAGACUGGAAUUCCUGGUGUAGCGGUGAAAUGCGCAGAUAUCAGGAGGAACACCGAUGGCGAAGGCAGGUCUCUGGGCAUUAACUGACGCUGAGGAGCGAAAGCGUGGGGAGCGAACAGG
This 253-nucleotide ribosomal RNA is filed under the name uncultured bacterium. RNAcentral describes it as "partial 16S ribosomal RNA". It matches the Rfam family "Bacterial small subunit ribosomal RNA", at positions 524 to 776 of the family's 1533-position model. The record is from RNAcentral.